AACAAGCUGAAAUUUAACCAGUUUAGUCAAGAUUUUGCCUGACCCUCUCAACGCUGACGACUGCCACUGUUCACAGGUCAGUUCAUCCCACUGCCCUCUUCUCUCGAAAGACAUUUACCUGCCCACAUGACUGUGCAGCUGCAUUUCUCAGCACGCCAACAAGACACGGAGGAGACUCUACUGAUACCGGGGUUUUCACCUUUAUUGGUACAGGAUAGUGGAUAUUUUACGGACAGGAAGGUGUGGAGAGCAGAGAUAGGACUUGAACAACUAAAUGAAUGCAACACAAGGCCAUGUUGGUCUUCCAGAAUGAUGUUCAGGUUUCAUUCAUCUGUGUAUAGGAACAGCUGAUGGUGGCCACAGCAAUGACAAUUGGCAGAGGAUCGCGAGUUCAGAAACGCAUUUAAAUCGGUAAAGGAAGAAGCACACAUGACGUUUUUAAUGUGGUUUUGGACGCAAUAUGUCAACAGCUCCAUAAAGAUUUAAUCUGAGAGAUCUA
RNAcentral lists this long non-coding RNA (499 nucleotides) under Danio rerio (zebrafish). RNAcentral's name for it is "lncRNA si:dkeyp-2g11.1 (ENSDARG00000097577.2)". The record is from RNAcentral. Lineage: Eukaryota; Metazoa; Chordata; Actinopteri; Cypriniformes; Danionidae.